This 1642-nucleotide unclassified non-coding RNA is filed under the name Hevea brasiliensis (rubber tree). The record is from RNAcentral. Lineage: Eukaryota; Viridiplantae; Streptophyta; Magnoliopsida; Malpighiales; Euphorbiaceae.
GAGGAUGAACCAAGAAGUAAAAGGUCUCUGUAUAAGAGACUACAAACUACUGCCGUUCAUCCUCAACUCCAAUACAGUGCAAAUUUCAGCCAAACCUUAACCAGAUUGACAACCACAAAGCUGAGAUGGGGAUGGUUGGAUGAUAUUCACUUUGGCAUUUUACAGAUUUUACCAAUGACAUGAAUUCAACUCCAUUGAAGACUUCUUCAGCUCCCAAAUUGGCUUCGACUACAAUACCUACAGAUAAGGCUCUUCUUCUAUCAUUAAAUCAUGAAUUGAUCAUUUUGAGACUUAUGAUAACCUUUUUCAAUGAUUUAUACUAAUCAUUUAUUGUACUUGAAUUUAGAUUUACUUAUUUAUUUGGAAAGUAUAUAAGGAAAAACAAAAUCACCAUAAGAAAAUUUGAAAAUCUUGAAGAACAUCCAAAUGAGAACUAAAAUUAUUUCCCCUUAGUUUAAUGUGAUUUUUAGGAAGUGGGAUUUGGGGUUAUUUGGUGGAUUCAAAUUUGGAUUGGAAUUUAAUCUAGGAAUUUAAUUAGAUUAGAUUAAUUAUAAAAUACACUAAUCAAUUGUGCUACAUAAUAAAAUGAGAAAAUUAAUUAUAUUUUUAAACAUGGUCGUAAAAAUUUAAGGUAUUUUAGGGCCUAUAUUCUCCUAUGAGUGGAACGGUUACCUCGCGUGUUCCAACGAAAAAGUAAAAAUAAUAAAAACACAAUAUUUUUAUGUGAAAAACACCUGACUCAAAAGAUGUAAAACCAAUGACAUGUAUCUCUACAUGAUGUAACUUCAACUUCACUAAAUCACUGAGCCUUAACAAAACACAGAUUGCAAACUAUAUAACCUACGAAACUAACUCUAAUUCCUUAACCUCAAGUUAUGAAUUAAGAUUACAACUCUUUCAAUACUAGGAACUAAUUCUAAAUCCUAACCUUCAAGUUAUGGAUUUAGAUUACAACUAGUGUAAUAUUACGAACUAACUCUAAAUCCUAAACUUCAAAACGAACCUCCCAAGGCAUGUGUUCCUAAACUUUAAACGUGCGUAAUUAUGCUUUUUAUCUGAUUGCUCAAAAAAAUAUCACAUGUGUAAUCAUGUUUUUUAUCCGAGGAACUAAGAGUUAAACAGAGUUAAAUACAGAGAUCGCUCACGCGAUUCCAUGAUUCCACCUUUUAAGUAUUUGAUUUAACUUGGACGUUAAGUGAUAAUUUGAAAAAUAAAUGCUAAAACUAAUAAUUGUGGUAUUAAUUACAUUAUUGUUUUUAAUCCAACACAUAGUGUAUAAGUUUAUCUCUUAUUGCUCGUAGCAGACAUCCUCGUUUGUUGGAGAACAAACUAUCCUAGGAUAAGUUAUCUUAGAAUAAGUUAAUCCAUAUAUGAGAUAAUUUGUUUUAUCAUUAUGAUAUAAAUGACAAAAUAAAUAGUUUAAGGUAUCUAAUGUAUCCAAGUAUAUGCAAGAUAAAAUAAUUUCGCAUUUUGUACCAUCAACGCCAAAGCUCCACUUUUGCCCUUCCUAAAUAAAUUAAAUUAGAAAAAAAUACAUAAUUACACAACUUAAAUAACAUAAUUUUAGAAAAGAUUUGCUUUUAAAUUAAUUAUAAAAAGUUUCUUUCUCUUUUAAUAUUCGAAUACAUUACUUUAUGUGUAC